UGGCUCAGAACGAACGCUGGCGGCGUGCUUAACACAUGCAAGUCGAACGAUGAAGCCCUUCGGGGUGGAUUAGUGGCGAACGGGUGAGUAACACGUGGGCAAUCUGCCCUUCACUCUGGGACAAGCCCUGGAAACGGGGUCUAAUACCGGAUACAACCACUGACCGCAUGGUCGGGUGGUGGAAAGCUCCGGCGGUGAAGGAUGAGCCCGCGGCCUAUCAGCUUGUUGGUGAGGUAAUGGCUCACCAAGGCGAGGGCAAGUAGCCGGCCUGAGAGGGCGACCGGCCACACUGGGACUGAGACUCGGCCCAGAGAAAUACGGGAGGCA
This 327-nucleotide ribosomal RNA is filed under the name uncultured Streptomyces sp. Its description in RNAcentral is "bacterial SSU rRNA". It matches the Rfam family "Bacterial small subunit ribosomal RNA", at positions 20 to 353 of the family's 1533-position model. The record is from RNAcentral. Lineage: Bacteria; Bacillati; Actinomycetota; Actinomycetes; Kitasatosporales; Streptomycetaceae.